AGUGAACGCUGGCGGUAGGCCUAACACAUGCAAGUCGAACGGCAGCACAGUAAGAGCUUGCUCUUACGGGUGGCGAGUGGCGGACGGGUGAGGAAUACUUCGGAUUCUACUUUUUCGUGGGGGAUAACGUAGGGAAACUUACGCUAAUACCGCAUACGACCUACGGGUGAAAGCAGGGGAACUUCGGACCUUGCGCGAUUGAAUGAGCCGAUGUCGGAUUAGCUAGUUGGCGGGUUAAAGGCCAUCCAAGGCGACGAUCCGUAACUGGUCCGAGAGGAUGGUCCGCCACACUGUAACUGAGACACGGCCCAGACUCCGAGGGGAGGCAGCAGUGGAGAAUAUUGGACGAAGGGGGCAAGCCUGAUCCAGCCAUACCGCGUGAGUGAAGAAGGCCUUCGGGUUGUAAAGCCCUUUUGUUGGGAAAGAAAAGCAGCAGGUUAAUACCCCGCUGUUCUGACGGUACCCAAAGAAUAAGCACCGGCUAACUUCGUG
Molecule: ribosomal RNA, 492 nt
Filed under: uncultured bacterium
Lineage: Bacteria
Description: partial 16S ribosomal RNA
Rfam family: Bacterial small subunit ribosomal RNA
Source: RNAcentral